AAUGCUGACAUAAGUAACGAUAAAGCGGGUGAAAAGCCCGCUCGCCGGAAGACCAAGGGUUCCUGUCCAACGUUAAUCGGGGCAGGGUGAGUCGACCCCUAAGGCGAGGCCGAAAGGCGUAGUCGAUGGGAAACGGGUUAAUAUUCCCGUACUUGGUGUUACUGCGAAGGGGGGACGGAGAAGGCUAUGUUGGCCGGGCGACGGUUGUCCCGGUUUAAGCGUGUAGGUGUGUGUUCCAGGUAAAUCCGGUUCACUUUAACACUGAGGCGUGAUGACGAGGCACCACGGUGCUGAAGCAACAAAUGCCCUGCUUCCAGGAAAAGCCUCUAAGCAUCAGGUAACAUCAAAUCGUACCCCAAACCGACACAGGUGGUCAGGUAGAGAAUACCAAGGCGCUUGAGAGAACUCGGGUGAAGGAACUAGGCAAAAUGGUGCCGUAACUUCGGGAGAAGGCACGCUGACACGUAGGUGAAGUGAUUUACUCAUGGAGCUGAAGUCAGUCGAAGAUACCAGCUGGCUGCAACUGUUUAUUAAAAACACAGCACUGUGCAAACACGAAAGUGGACGUAUACGGUGUGACGCCUGCCCGGUGCCGGAAGGUUAAUUGAUGGGGUCAGCGCAAGCGAAGCUCCUGAUCGAAGCCCCGGUAAACGGCGGCCGUAACUAUAACGGUCCUAAGGUAGCGAAAUUCCUUGUCGGGUAAGUUCCGACCUGCACGAAUGGCGUAAUGAUGGCCAGGCUGUCUCCACCCGAGACUCAGUGAAAUUGAACUCGCUGUGAAGAUGCAGUGUACCCGCGGCAAGACGGAAAGACCCCGUGAACCUUUACUAUAGCUUGACACUGAACAUUGAGCCUUGAUGUGUAGGAUAGGUGGGAGGCUUUGAAGCGUGGACGCCAGUCUGCGUGGAGCCGACCUUGAAAUACCACCCUUUAAUGUUUGAUGUUCUAACGUGGACCCGUAAUCCGGGUUGCGGACAGUGUCUGGUGGGUAGUUUGACUGGGGCGGUCUCCUCCUAAAGAGUAACGGAGGAGCACGAAGGUUGGCUAAUCCUGGUCGGACAUCAGGAGGUUAGUGCAAUGGCAUAAGCCAGCUUGACUGCGAGCGUGACGGCGCGAGCAGGUGCGAAAGCAGGUCAUAGUGAUCCGGUGGUUCUGAAUGGAAGGGCCAUCGCUCAACGGAUAAAAGGUACUCCGGGGAUAACAGGCUGAUACCGCCCAAGAGUUCAUAUCGACGGCGGUGUUUGGCACCUCGAUGUCGGCUCAUCACAUCCUGGGGCUGAAGUAGGUCCCAAGGGUAUGGCUGUUCGCCAUUUAAAGUGGUACGCGAGCUGGGUUUAGAACGUCGUGAGACAGUUCGGUCCCUAUCUGCCGUGGGCGCUGGAAGACUGAGGGGGGCUGCUCCUAGUACGAGAGGACCGGAGUGGACGCAUCACUGGUGUUCGGGUUGUCAUGCCAAUGGCACUGCCCGGUAGCUAAAUGCGGAAAAGAUAAGUGCUGAAAGCAUCUAAGCACGAAACUUGCCCC
RNAcentral lists this ribosomal RNA (1524 nucleotides) under Salmonella enterica. RNAcentral describes it as "partial 23S ribosomal RNA". It matches the Rfam family "Bacterial large subunit ribosomal RNA", at positions 1293 to 2800 of the family's 2925-position model. The record is from RNAcentral. Lineage: Bacteria; Pseudomonadati; Pseudomonadota; Gammaproteobacteria; Enterobacterales; Enterobacteriaceae. RNAcentral also lists the same sequence under 1 other name.